UAUUGUAAGAAGAAAUGGUGAAUCUGAAAC
RNAcentral lists this non-coding RNA (30 nucleotides) under Rattus norvegicus (Norway rat). The record is from RNAcentral. Lineage: Eukaryota; Metazoa; Chordata; Mammalia; Rodentia; Muridae.